GAAUCUCAAUCAACUUCUCACUCACCAUUCACUAUUUAUUUCCCAAGAUGUUGCUUUGUUCUUUCAGCCAGCAAACGUAAGGAUUCCUCCUCCAGCCUUCAAAGUGCCAAAAAGAAAAAUGGACCAUUAGUGACAUUAAAAGGUGCUGCCUUCCAUCUUCCAAGCCAUUUGCUGUUGUGAUCAGAUCAGACCAGUUCAUGUUGUGAAAUUUCCGGAAGGAAUUGCGUCUUCAUUUUCAAAAGGCGUCUUGAAGAGAGUGGUUUUCAUGAAUUUCUACUCUGAUAUAAAAGGUACGAGGAAGCAGAGUCAGAUGAUGCCAUAAGGGAAGUUACUGAUUUGUUGCUGCUCAAAAGGGUCAUCAAUAAGGCUUAGUUCUUCUCCAUGGACGAUGGGUAAUCCUCUCGAGGGGAUCAGUUCUUGCUUCUCCGAGUCCUCGGACAACUUUUGUCGCGUUCGUCCCACCGGCUGAUAUCUGAACCGAAAAGCUAAGUAAAUUCGAAUUAAAGCAGAAAGAUAUCGGGUUGAUAGAGUACGGAUGAAAUGUUAGCUGCUUCUGCUCGUGUCAUUCACAUGUUUUUUCACGUUGAUUUCUUGUUCCUAGAUGCUGUCUAGGGACAGGCUUCAGCUACAAAGGAGGGAAAGUUGUGAAAGUUUCCCGAAGAGGGGCGUUGGAUGUGCAUAAAGAGCGUUUAGGAUUUCAUCGUUCCGUUAUCGUGGUUUUCCAGCAGCAAUGGGAGCAGUUUGUUUUUCCCGGGCAUUCCUCCGAUCUAUGAGAAGAGGUUUCAUUCACAUGGAGGUAUUACUAUGCCACUAGAGCCUGUGGAUAUCUGCCAAGGCUGAUGGAGUGCGGGCAUACUCAUCAUGAUAAGCUCUCCUCGAUACGAAUACUAGAGCCAGAGAGGGUGCUCCCUUUUCCUGCAGGUAUCCGGAGCUCGAUUUGUCUGAGAAGAACCGAAAUGGAAACCAUGAUCCCAGAAGAGUAUUCUCGAACAAAUUCUCCACCGCCCCGUAGAGUGCAUUCGAAGACAAGGAAUCGAGAACUGUCACCAGGAUCGAACCCCUCCAUUCCCAAAUGUUGCCUUUCUUUGGCAUAACCUUGAGAGAGCCUCUGCCCUCACUUCCUCGGAUGCACAUCUUUGUUCCGAUGAGUUCCCCCAUUUGAACUUCAAUUUUCCUUCAGUCACCUGCAGACAUAGUUGGAAGCUGUCAAGCAUUCUGUACUGUCCCUUUCUUUACGGUCUUACCAUCUGUGUAGUAGCGGGGACUGAGAAGAGAGAUUAAUAUGUUUUUUACCUGCGAAUAAACACUCUGUCGAUGUGUAACGAGAUGAGAUAUAUUCCUUCCACAAUCAGAACUCUGUAUCUUCAAUUUCCUUGUGCACCUCCUGGAAAGAUUCAUUGGUUGUACCUCUGAAA
This is a non-coding RNA of Punica granatum (pomegranate), 1415 nucleotides long. NCBI's taxonomy places the organism in Eukaryota, Viridiplantae, Streptophyta, Magnoliopsida, Myrtales, Lythraceae. The record is from RefSeq and is a predicted model, not a curated record.